Salvia splendens (bonfire salvia) is the source of this 1102-nucleotide long non-coding RNA. RefSeq lists it as uncharacterized. The record is from RefSeq and is a predicted model, not a curated record. The transcript is spliced from 3 exons. NCBI's taxonomy places the organism in Eukaryota, Viridiplantae, Streptophyta, Magnoliopsida, Lamiales, Lamiaceae.
UUAAAAGCCCAACAAAAUUUAAUUGAAGCCCAACUAACCAAAACAUCCCAUUUAAUUUAAUAGGCCCACUUCCUUUAAACAAACAAAGGCCCAAUUUAUUUAACUCCCACAUCCCCCACGCCUCUCUCUUCCUCUCUCUCUAACUCUCUACUUCUCUCUCUCGUCGACAAAAUUGGGGAUUUUCCCAGAAUUUCCUUCGCCUUCCCGAUUCACUCCACGCCGUCGGCCGCUGCUCGCCGAGAAGACAUGACGCUGCCGCCUCGGUGCUGUCGGUGCAGUCUUCGGGUCAGCCUUCGCCAGCCUCCGUCGAUUCAACGUUGCUGCUGCCGUCGCGCUCCUCCGUCGGUUCUCCCCUCCGUCGCCCGACGCCCCAAGGUAAGUUCUUAACUUGAUUUCAGUUCUUUACAGGUUCGAUCUUUAAUUUGGUUGCUUCGAUUUAUUCGAUUCAUUGAUUUCAGAUCGUAGUUAUUGUUUUGAUUGUGCGAUUUGAUCGGUGAUGCUGGUUGAUUGAAUUAUGUGGGGAGUGAAGUAGGAUGAUGUGUUGGGAGCAAAAUGCAAUAAUUCACGUUUUAAAAAAAAAUUGGGUAGGAAAAAAAAUACCUUGAACAGAUUUCAAAAGAACAACCGGUAGCUCCUUCUCUCGAAUUUGGAUUCUUGGUUUCUUGAAUUUGAUUGAGUAGAAGUUGAGAAGAAUAAAUCUUGUUCUUGUUGCAGAAGAAUGAAAUAGGAGAAAACUAAUUUGUGAAAGAGUAUUAUAGAGGGGAGGUUGUUGAUAGAUAUGGGAGAGAUUUGCAUAAAAGUACAUAUACAUAAAAGAUGGCAAGUGGCGUGUAAAGAAAUCAUCACUUUAGAAAAGCAGAAGAAGAAAAAGAGAAGCUUAAAGAUAAAGAGAAGCGUAAAGAUGAAGAGCGCAAGGAGCGUAGGAGAACAAAAGAAAGGGAGAAAAAGGUAUAAUCGGUUCAAGUUCGUGGCCGUCCGUGCUGAAGUACCCGAUUUUCUUAGAACGCAUGAUGUAUAGAUUAAAUUUUGUUGGACUUUUGUUGGAUGUAUCAGACAUUAAAAUUUUGAUUUUGGGAUCUUAUUUAUUUAUUUAUUAUAUUCA